Molecule: long non-coding RNA, 322 nt
Organism: Andrographis paniculata
Lineage: Eukaryota; Viridiplantae; Streptophyta; Magnoliopsida; Lamiales; Acanthaceae
Exons: 3
Source: RefSeq, a predicted model, not a curated record
UCUGAUGAAGAUGCCUCGGAUGGAUUCUUGGCGGCGUUUUCAUCCUCGGCAUCGUACCUCUGUUCUCGGGAAGUUUCCGGCGUGGCGCUGUUGCUGUUGCCGCCUCCGUCCCACAGAGCGCGUAAGAAUCCUGCAUUUGUUUGUUCCAGAUGAUUUGGUUCCAUCGAUCAGUCAGAAAUUUUCGAUUGAAGAAGCUACCCUGCAAAAUUACCUUGAGACUUGAUCCAGCAAUGGCGGAAUCGACGAGACGAUACUCGUGCAUGACCCAAUCGGUACGGAUUCCGUGCGGCGCUCUGCCUCUGUAAUACACCAACGUCUUCUU